AUGCACGCUGGCGGCGUGCCUAAUACAUGCCAGUCGAGCGAACGGACGAGAAGCUUGCUUCUCUGAUGUUAGCGGCGGACGGGUGAGUAACACGUGGAUAACCUACCUAUAAGACUGGGAUAACUUCGGGAAACCGGAGCUAAUACCGGAUAAUAUUUUGAACCGCAUGGUUCAAAAGUGAAAGACGGUCUUGCUGUCACUUAUAGAUGGAUCCGCGCUGCAUUAGCUAGUUGGUAAGGUAACGGCUUACCAAGGCAACGAUGCAUAGCCGACCUGAGAGGGUGAUCGGCCACACUGGAACUGAGACACGGUCCAGACUCCUACGGGAGGCAGCAGUAGGGAAUCUUCCGCAAUGGGCGAAAGCCUGACGGAGCAACGCCGCGUGAGUGAUGAAGGUCUUCGGAUCGUAAAACUCUGUUAUUAGGGAAGAACAUAUGUGUAAGUAACUGUGUACAUCUUGACGGUACCUAAUCAGAAAGCCACGGCUAACUACGUG
RNAcentral lists this ribosomal RNA (496 nucleotides) under uncultured bacterium. Its description in RNAcentral is "partial 16S ribosomal RNA". It matches the Rfam family "Bacterial small subunit ribosomal RNA", at positions 29 to 507 of the family's 1533-position model. The record is from RNAcentral.